GACGAACGCUGGCGGCGUGCUUAACACAUGCAAGUCGAACGGAAAGGCCCUGCUUUUGUGGGGUGCUCGAGUGGCGAACGGGUGAGUCACACGUGAGUAACCUGCCCUUGACUUUGGGAUAACUUCAGGAAACUGGGGCUAAUAACGGAUAGGAGCUCCUGCUGCAUGGUGGGGGUUGGAAUGUUGGGGCGGUUGGGGAUGGGCUCGCGGGUUAUUAGUUUGUGGGUGGGGUAGUGGCUUACCAAGGGUUUGACGGGUAGCCGGCCUGAGAGGGUGACCGGCCACAUUGGGACUGAGAUACGGCCCAGAGCCCUACGGGAGGCAGCAGUGGGGAAUAUUGCACGAUGGGCGGAAGCCUGAUGCAGCAACGCCGCGUGCGGGAUGACGGCCUUCGGGUUGUAAACCGCUUUCGCCUGUGACGAAGCGUGAGUGACGGUAAUGGGUAAAGAAGCACCGGCUAACUACGUG
RNAcentral lists this ribosomal RNA (468 nucleotides) under uncultured bacterium. RNAcentral's name for it is "partial 16S ribosomal RNA". It matches the Rfam family "Bacterial small subunit ribosomal RNA", at positions 28 to 507 of the family's 1533-position model. The record is from RNAcentral.